Molecule: ribosomal RNA, 447 nt
Filed under: uncultured bacterium
Lineage: Bacteria
Description: bacterial SSU rRNA
Rfam family: Bacterial small subunit ribosomal RNA
Source: RNAcentral
GUCCAGACUCCUACGGGAGGCAGCAGUGGGGAAUAUUGCACAAUGGGGGAAACCCUGAUGCAGCGACGCCGCGUGAGUGAAGAAGAAAUUCGUUAUGUAAAGCUCUCUCAGCAGGGAAGAAAAUGACGGUACCUGAGUAAGAAGCCCUGGCUAACUACGUGCCAGCAGCCGCGGUAAUACGUAGGGGGCAAGCGUUAUCCGGAUUUACUGGGUGUAAAGGGAGCGUAGACGGCAGUGCAAGUCUGGAGUGAAAGGCGGGGGCUCAACCCCCGGACUGCUCUGGAAACUGUACGGCUGGAGUGCAGGAGAGGUAAGUGGAAUUCCUAGUGUAGCGGUGAAAUGCGUAGAUAUUAGGAGGAACACCAGUGGCGAAGGCGGCUUACUGGACCGUAACUGACGUUGAGGCUCGAAAGCGUGGGGAGCAAACAGGAUUAGAUACCCGGGUAC